Molecule: small RNA, 2073 nt
Filed under: Pan troglodytes (chimpanzee)
Lineage: Eukaryota; Metazoa; Chordata; Mammalia; Primates; Hominidae
Description: retained intron
Source: RNAcentral
UUUACACUGCUAUUUCUCUUGCUGUGCAGAAGCCUUUUAGUUUAAUUAGGUCCCAUUUAUUUAUGUUUUUGUUGCAUUUGCUUUUGGGGUCUUAGUCAUGAAUUCUUUGCCUAAGCCAAUGUCUGGAAGAGUUUUUCUGAUGUUAUCUUCUAGAACUUGUAUUGGUUUCAGGUUUUAGCUUUCAGCCUUUGACCAUCUUGAGUUGAUUUUUGUGUAAGGUGAGAGAUGAGGAUCUGGUUUCUGAAGGGGAAUUUGUGUUGGCCUAGUGGCGCCUGAGAUGCAGGUUAAUCCUCCUUAUGGAAGGCAACUAUUACUAGGAUGGGUACCUGAUGACACCACACUUUUUCUCUCAGCUGAGCUUUCAACCUUAAAUGGGGCAUUAGUGCCGGGGCACCUCUGCAUAGUCCUAACCCACUGGAGAGGCCUUCCUAAGGAGAGCAGGUUAAGCAGAUGUCUGAGUCUUCGCCUGAUCGUCAUCGUAGAUUUCCUCCUAGGAAAACAAGGACUGUUUUAUCAUUUGACUCCCACAGUAUCAUCUGCAAAUAAGUGCGUACCUAGGAAUGAUGACUUGGCCCCAUCAGAAUGCUCACAGCAGCCCGCCUGGUUGUUGUAGGAGUGUGUGAUAGAAAGGAAUGGGGGAGAACAGCCAUUGACACUGGUAGGGUAAGAAAGGAACUGGGAUGCUUGCCCUUCUGACCCUAGAGAUUUAUGCCCUAGGUGUGGCUGUAUGAAUGAGAAGUUUUUCUGCCUCCCUACUAGUAUACAGGUCAUCACUCACCAUCACCAAGGCAGCGGAGGAAGAGAGCAUCAGUACAGGAUCUGGUGUUAGCCUUAGGUCCAAGGCCCAGCUCUGAACCUCACCAUGUGACCUGGGCACAUCACCUAGUUACUCCAAGACCCGGUUUUCUAAUUUUUCUAAAAAUAGAGCCAUGCCUGUCCUAUCUGCUUCACAGAAUUGCUAAUAAGAUUUAGAUUAAAUGAAAUUACAGAUGGGAAAGCUGAAAAAUAUGUAUGAAUAUUAGUUUUGUAAAAGGUUUACCCUACAAAAAGGGUUUCUGCUCUUUGUCCCUUGCCCUCUGGACUCAUAAGUCUUCUGUUCUUUUCUCCAGGUUACCUGUGCAUGACAGAUGAGUGGUUCUCUGAGUAUGUCUACGAAGUGGUGGUGGACAGGAAGCAUGUCCCUGAAGAGGUGCUAGCUGUGUUAGAGCAGGAACCCAUUAUCCUGCCAGCAUGGGACCCCAUGGGAGCUUUGGCUGAGUGAUACUACCCUCCAGCUCUUUCCUCCUUCCAUGGAACCUGACGUAGCUGCAAAGGACAGAUCCAGGGACUGAAGCCAAAGUUAUGCAAGGGACUGUGUGUUGCCACAGGACACAGUCAGAUUUCCAAUCUCCACCAGGAACCUCUUCAGAAAGUGUGCUUUAUGCUGAAACAGAAUACUGUUAAAGGAAAAAAAAGAGGGGGGAAGAUCAGGUCAUACCAUCUACUCUCCUCAUCUCUAACAGCUCAGGAUCUCUUAGCAUUUUAAUUAGAUGUAAUUGUUUGUCUUUAACUGUCAAAAAGUUUGGUUCUGUGUCUGUGUUUUAAUAAGACAAGAGAGGACGAGCGAUUGAGGUGUAUGGAGAGAAAACAGACCUAAUGCUCCUUGUUCCUAGAGUAGAGUGGAGGGAGGGUGGCCUAAGAGUUGAGCUCUCGGAACUGCAUGCUGCUGGACAGUAUCACUGUCUUUCCUAGAUGGCAGUCACUGAAUUCCAUUUUUUCAAGGUAAUUUCUUGUGCCUCUAAUAGCCCAAGGAUGGGAGGUUGAUCAGAUCUGACAUGAUUCCUUCCUGUUCUGAACUGUGGGGUGCACAUCUCUGCUUGAGUCAGGUUUGAGUAGAGGCUUAGAGACAGUUGGGUGAGAACAACCAAAAUCUUAUCAUGGUCUCAGUCAUAAUCAUUAGGGGGAACUCUAGCCAAAUGGUUUAACUUCUGCCUGUGGAACUGGGGAUUGGGUGGGCAGGAAAAGGUGAUAUCCAUUCUUUCUGAUAACUAGAUGGUGCUGAGAAGCUUUUGAAUAAAAACUUUGCUAAAUGAG